UUUUUUUUUUUUUUUUUUUUUUUUGAGACAGGGUGUUGCUCCAUUGCCCAGGCUGAAGUGCAGUGGUGGGAUGAUAACUCACUGCAGCCUCAACUUCCUGGGCUUAACUGAUCCUCCCACCUCAGCCUCUCAAGUAGCUGAGAUUACAGGUGCACACCAAUACGCCUGGCUAAUUAAAAAACAACAAACAAACAAACAAAAAUAUGUUUUUUUUUUGUAGAGAUGGGGUCUCACUGGGUUGCCCAGGCUGAUCUGAAACUCUUGCCCUCAGGUGAUCCUCCCGUCUCAGACUCUCCAAGUGCUAGGAUUGAGCCACCACGCCCAUCUGGGAUGCCUUGUCUUUUAUACCUUUACUCCACAAAUAUGUGCUUAGGCAUUGCUUGCUGUGGCCAGAACCUUGCAGGGGUGAGGGACACAGGUAAAUGAGAGCUGGUCCCAGCCCUCCCUCAGAAAGCUGCUGGACCACAGGGUGACAAAACUGAAGCUGUCUGUCACAUCCGGGAGCAGGUGCUAUGAGGAUAAGCAGCCAGAGAAGACCCCUAACUUGAUCUGUGGCCAUCAAAGAAGGCACCCAAGGCAGGAUGCCUCCCUGAAUCCUAAAGCCAAUUAGCAGUCAGCCAGGACAGCUGCUAGAGGGGUCUAAGCGGGAGUGGAGAGGAUGUUCCAGGCAGAGGGAAUAGCAGACAGGAAGGCUCAGAGGUGAGUGUGAGCAGGCAGUCUCAGGGACCCCAGACAGUUGGUGAGGCUGCAGUGCUCAGGGGAGGUGUGCCAACAGGUAAGCUGGCAGGGCCGGGUCCCUGGGGGCUGGCUUGUCCUUUCUGCCAUUGUCUGAGAGAGUGGGUGGCUGGUAUCUGGUGGCCCAGAUGAAGAUAAUGGCGAUGCAAUUGUGUUCUUCUUUCUGCUCGGUGCCUCUCAGUUAAGGACAUUUGCAAAAAUUAAUAACAGCAUAUGCUUUUAUGUCCUCCACUUAAAUUUCCUUUGGAUUAAAGAAAGUAAUGGAGGGAAAGGAAGAAAAGCAGGAAGGAGCGAGAGAGGGAGGGGAGAGACAAAAGAAGGAAAAUAAUUUGGGGAAAAAAAAUUUGUCCUUUUCUGGGCUAAGAUAGCCCCAGCCUUUGCAUUUUCUCACCCACUGAGUCACCAGCCUCCUGCCCUCUUUCAGGACUGUACAUCUUGGCCUCUUACCUACUGUGUCUGCGUCAGCCUCCCUCACAGCCUGAUGGCCCCUGCGGCAGCCCCAACCCAGUUUCAGGGGCUAAGAAAACUACAGUUGCAUGAACGAGUGGAGGUGAGUGGGAGGCAGAAGCGGCGGGGAGAACCAGUCUGUUCCGAGAUCUCUGGACCAACCAGUGGCUCCUGAUGGUCAGCCUUGUCUAGAGCCCCUUCCAGCGUGCAGGCCAGUCCUCCUGGCAUUCUUCUAAUUACACCGAGCUGUGAGUUAUGUGUGCCAAGUAUGUGCUGGAUUUUGUACCAAGUGCUUUCCAUUCAUCAGUUCAGGGUAGUGAUGCAGGUAGCUCCAGGCUCAGAGAGGAACAGUGACUUCUCCCAGGUCACACAGCUGGAAAGUGGCUGAGUCUGGAUUCAAACCCAGACUUCCUUGUUGCUAGGACCUGUAUUUUCAACCACUGCCUAUGCCUCUAUAACGAGCCAGCUUAUGGCUGUGUUCACGCAAAGAGAAAAGCAUCCAAAUGGGAAGGCUGGAGAAUUCAAGCAAUUUUCCCACGUGUCAGACAGUCCUGUUUCCCUCUCCCUUCAAAAAAAGUCCUGGAUUAUCUCUCUCUCUCUCUCUUUCUUUUUCCUUUUCCUUUUUGUUUUUUUUCUUUGUUUUUUCUUUCUUUCUUUCUUUCUUUUUUUUUGAAACAGGGUAUUACUCUGUUACUCAGGCUGGAGUGCAGUGGUGUGAUCACAGCCC
This 1909-nucleotide small RNA is filed under the name Pan troglodytes (chimpanzee). RNAcentral's name for it is "retained intron". Lineage: Eukaryota; Metazoa; Chordata; Mammalia; Primates; Hominidae. The record is from RNAcentral.